RNAcentral lists this ribosomal RNA (426 nucleotides) under uncultured Methylomonas sp. RNAcentral's name for it is "partial 16S ribosomal RNA". It matches the Rfam family "Bacterial small subunit ribosomal RNA", at positions 355 to 774 of the family's 1533-position model. Lineage: Bacteria; Pseudomonadati; Pseudomonadota; Gammaproteobacteria; Methylococcales; Methylococcaceae. The record is from RNAcentral.
UGGGGAAUAUUGGACAAUGGGCGAAAGCCUGAUCCAGCAAUACCGCGUGUGUGAAGAAGGCCUGAGGGUUGUAAAGCACUUUCAAUGGGAAGGAAUACCUGCAGGUUAAUACCCGGCAGACUGACAUUACCCAUACAAGAAGCACCGGCUAACUCCGUGCCAGCAGCCGCGGUAAUACGGAGGGUGCAAGCGUUAAUCGGAAUUACUGGGCGUAAAGCGUGCGUAGGCGGUUAUUUAAGUCAGAUGUGAAAGCCCUGGGCUUAACCUGGGAACUGCAUUUGAUACUGGGUGACUAGAGUUGAGUAGAGGAGAGUGGAAUUUCAGGUGUAGCGGUGAAAUGCGUAGAGAUCUGAAGGAACACCAGUGGCGAAGGCGGCUCUCUGGACUCAAACUGACGCUGAGGUACGAAAGCGUGGGUAGCAAACA